AGCUGGUAAAAUGGAAUCAAAU
Molecule: microRNA, 22 nt
Filed under: Ophiophagus hannah (king cobra)
Lineage: Eukaryota; Metazoa; Chordata; Lepidosauria; Squamata; Elapidae
Also listed under: 1 other name
Description: oha-miR-133a-1-5p
Gene: oha-miR-133a-1-5p
Source: miRBase by way of RNAcentral